UACGAAGGGGGCUAGCGUUGUUCGGAAUUACUGGGCGUAAAGCGUGCGCAGGCGGCUUCUCAAGUCAGGGGUGAAAGCCCAGAGCUUAACUCUGGAAUUGCCUUUGAGACUGAGAGGCUUGAGUACGGGAGAGGUGAGUGGAAUUCCCAGUGUAGAGGUGAAAUUCGUAGAUAUUGGGAAGAACACCGGUGGCGAAGGCGGCUCACUGGACCGUAACUGACGCUGAGGCGCGAAAGCGUGGGGAGCAAACAGG
Molecule: ribosomal RNA, 253 nt
Filed under: uncultured bacterium
Lineage: Bacteria
Description: partial 16S ribosomal RNA
Rfam family: Bacterial small subunit ribosomal RNA
Source: RNAcentral